CUCGCCUUGCCGCAGGAGACUCAGACCCCCUCCCACAGGGCAGUCACCAGCCUCCUCCCAGUAGCAAAUGAUUUGAUGGGGGCUCUUUUCUUUCGAAAGGACCUGGGGGUCAGCGGACGUUCGGACUCAUUGCGAAGUGAAGAACCUUACUGGGGGAUUUUUUUUCUUUCAUUCUUUCCCUUUUUUUUUGUAAUUAAAAAACCCUUUUCAGAACUAAAGGAGGAAACAGAUUCUUCCCUUUCCCAUUUUAAGCACUUAUGGGAGGAAGCGAAGAUAGGAAAGGCGAACCAGUCAACUGGAGUGGAGUAGGAGCUCAGAUGAAAAAGAAGACAGGAAAAGGAGAGAGGGAAACCUUAAGAUCCUGGCACCAAGAAGGAGCUGGGGGCUCUGACCACGGCCCGCAUGAGGAGUUAAACCCUUUCUAACUAACCUUCCAGGCAUCUAGAGACAGACCUCUCAGAUCUGAAAAGAAAGCCUGGCUGCCUUUAUUUAUAUUCAAUCUUCAAAGCCUAAUAUAUUAAAAUGAGAGUUCAUUUUUCCCACGACAUUCUGGAAAUCUUGUAUACAAGCAAAGAAAUGACCAUUUAUAAUGUUCUGCAGAAGAAUCCUGGAGCUUUAGGCCCUGGUGGAUUAUAAAUAAGAAAAAAAGGAACAAAUAUCUCAAAAUGUAUUGAUCUGAGUGCUGAAUAAUCUCAUUCUUCAAAGUGGAAAGUAACCCUGUUUUUGCAGAUAAGGAAACAGAGUUGUUAUUGCAAUCAACUGAAAGUUCAUCUGAAGUCUGGAAGAAAAGAGUGAGAUGCCCACAAGUACUAUAAACACAUGGAAGGUUCAUCAUAUCUGGAUGGUGUAAAAUGCAUUGGAAAAUGGUAGACCUGUUGAGACAGAUCAUAAAGAAACCUGUGCACCAUGCAAGGCUGCCUGAUGAACCUGGAGUCAUACCCAAAGCAGGAUAUUCCAGGAUGUUAUUCUGUUCCUCAUUGGUGUCAAAUCCAGCAUAGCCUCACAGAGCAACACCUCAGCUCCUCAGCCUAUCAGAUGCAUGGGAACCUUGACUGAAGCUGGACACUGAGGUUUAAGGCUUUAUCUUUCCAGGAACAUUCCCCAAUAAGCUUACCCACUUCCUGAAGGUUCCUAGUACCAGAAGAAAGCUAAACCAUAAAUUUGCUAUAGUCAGAAAAUCAUUCCUUUUCCUUCCCAUGUGCCUUUCUGAAACAUCCCUCAGAAAAAGAUGAGGGGAGGGGAGGAGAGGGGAAGGGGAAAUAUCACUAAUACACUACCCCUACAAUUACCUCACAUGUAUACUUUAAUUUUACUACUCUGAGAUUUUGCCCUCCAGCUUACAUUUAGUAAUGUUAGAAACACCUACUAGUGUCACAACUGGAGGAAUACUACUGACAUUUGGUGGGUAGAGGAGUCAGAUGCUGCAAAACAUAUUACAUGGACAUGACAAACCCCACAACGGUGCUAUCUGUUCCAAAACAUCAGUAAUGCUACAGUUGAGAAGCCAUGCUGUAGGCCACAUAUUAAGCUGAAAAUGCACAAUGUGAGAAAUAAAG
Molecule: long non-coding RNA, 1556 nt
Organism: Heterocephalus glaber (naked mole-rat)
Lineage: Eukaryota; Metazoa; Chordata; Mammalia; Rodentia; Bathyergidae
Source: Ensembl